This 448-nucleotide ribosomal RNA is filed under the name uncultured Tepidibacter sp. Its description in RNAcentral is "bacterial SSU rRNA". It matches the Rfam family "Bacterial small subunit ribosomal RNA", at positions 28 to 505 of the family's 1533-position model. The record is from RNAcentral. Lineage: Bacteria; Bacillati; Bacillota; Clostridia; Peptostreptococcales; Peptostreptococcaceae.
GAUGAACGCUGGCGGCGUGCCUAACACAUGCAAGUCGAGCGAGGACUUCGGUCCUAGCGGCGGACGGGUGAGUAACGCGUGGGUAAUCUGCCUCAUACACACGGAUAACGUACCGAAAGGUACGCUAAUACGAGAUAAAGUUAAGAAAUGGCAUCAUUUCUUAAUCAAAGAAUUUCGGUAUGAGAUGAGCCCGCGUCCCAUUAGCUAGUUGGUAAGGUAAAAGCUUACCAAGGCGACGAUGGGUAGCCGACCUGAGAGGGUGAUCGGCCACACUGGAACUGAGACACGGUCCAGACUCCUACGGGAGGCAGCAGUGGGGAAUAUUGCACAAUGGGCGAAAGCCUGAUGCAGCAACGCCGCGUGAGCGAUGAAGGUCUUCGGAUCGUAAAGCUCUGUCCUCAAGGAAGAAUUUUGACGGUACUUGAGGAGGAAGCCCCGGCUAACUACG